AUACGGAGGUGGUUAGCGUUGUUCGGAAUUACUGGGCGUAAAGCGCACGUAGGCGGAUUGGAAAGUUGGGGGUGAAAUCCCAGGGCUCAACCCUGGAACUGCCUCCAAAACUAACAGUCUAGAGUUCGAGAGAGGUGAGUGGAAUUCCAAGUGUAGAGGUGAAAUUCGUAGAUAUUUGGAGGAACACCAGUGGCGAAGGCGGCUCACUGGCUCGAUACUGACGCUGAGGUGCGAAAGCGUGGGGAGCAAACAGGAUUAGAAACCCUAGUAGUCC
Molecule: ribosomal RNA, 274 nt
Filed under: uncultured bacterium
Lineage: Bacteria
Description: partial 16S ribosomal RNA
Rfam family: Bacterial small subunit ribosomal RNA
Source: RNAcentral